This 259-nucleotide ribosomal RNA is filed under the name uncultured bacterium. Its description in RNAcentral is "partial small subunit ribosomal RNA". It matches the Rfam family "Bacterial small subunit ribosomal RNA", at positions 26 to 285 of the family's 1533-position model. The record is from RNAcentral.
AGGACGAACGCUGGCGGCGUGCUUAACACAUGCAAGUCGAGCGGUAAGGCCCUUUCGGGGGUACACGAGCGGCGAACGGGUGAGUAACACGUGGGUGACCUGCCCUUAGCUCUGGGAUAAGCCUGGGAAACUGGGUCUAAUACCGGAUAUGACCUCAUGACGCAUGUUGUGGGGUGGAAAGCCUUGUGCGGCUAGGGGAUGGGCCCGCGGCCUAUCAGCUUGUUGGUGGGGUGAUGGCCUACCAAGGCGACGACGGGUA